AUGCUCACUUCGGCAGCACAUAUACUAAAAUUGGAAUCAUACAGAGAUUAGCAUGGCCCCUGUGCAAGGAUGACACGCAAAUUCAUGAAGCAUCCCAUGUUUUU
This is a small nuclear RNA of Mesoplodon densirostris (Blainville's beaked whale), 104 nucleotides long. The record is from RefSeq and is a predicted model, not a curated record. NCBI's taxonomy places the organism in Eukaryota, Metazoa, Chordata, Mammalia, Artiodactyla, Ziphiidae.